CUUCCGGGCGCCAUGUUCGGCCGCGGGUACGACAGAGUUGAUCAUGGCUAGACGAGGCCCGGCGGGCUAAACAUGCAGUCGACGAGAAGACCUCUUGCAGGGGCGAGAAGUGGCGCACGGGUGAGUAACGCGUGGUUAAUCUACCCUUGGGUUUGGGAAAAAGUCCCGAAAGGGGCGCUAAUACCGGAUAAGACCACGGUGUCCACGGGCACUGGGGUAAAAGUGGGCCUCUACAUGUAAGCUCAUGCCUGAGGAUGAGACCGCGUCCCAUUAGCUUGUUGGUGAGGUAACGGCUCACCAAGGCCGCGAUGGGUAGCUGAUCUGAGAGGAUGAUCAGCCACACUGGGACUGGAACACGGCCCAGACUCCUACGGGAGGCAGCAGUGAGUUUUUCUUGCGCAAUGGGGGAAACCCUGACGCAGCCACGCCGCGUGGGUGAAGAAGGCCUUCGGGUUGUAAAGCCCUGUCAGGUGGGAAGAACCGCAGUCUGGCCAAUACCUGGACUGCUUGACGGUACCACCAAAGGAAGCACCGGCUAACUCAGUGCCAGCAGCCGCGGUAAUACGGAGGGUGCAAGCGUUGUUCGGAAUUUACUGGGCGUAAAGCGCGUGUAGGCGGACCGGUAAGUUGGGAGUGAAAGCCCUGGGCUCAACCCAGGAAGUGCUUCCAAUACUGCCGGGCUUUGAGUUCCGGAGAGGGUGUUGGAUUUCCCGGUGUAGAGGUGAAAUUCGUAGAUAUCGGGAGGAAUUCCAGUGUGAAGUGACCACCUGAACGAGAACUG
This 781-nucleotide ribosomal RNA is filed under the name uncultured bacterium. Its description in RNAcentral is "bacterial SSU rRNA". It matches the Rfam family "Bacterial small subunit ribosomal RNA", at positions 1 to 742 of the family's 1533-position model. The record is from RNAcentral.